GUUGGUGGCCAAUUUCGCAUUGUGAAACGGUGGAAAUGGAAGGCGACCACGCAGGUGGGAGUUGUAUAUGGAGAUGGCACAUCAUUUGCAGCAGCUGUUGAGGUAACAUGAAAUGGCAUUAUGCAUUGUUCUUUUCUUUUUUUCUACACAAAGAAGCCUGGGAUGUGAUUUUUUACGCAGUUCCACAAGAACCAGCUAGAUGUUGGCAUCCCGAACUUUUAUAGUUGCACAAGAAUUAAUUAAGAAUUGGUAUCCUCAACUUUUCGAAUUGUUGCACAACAGUAUCAUACGAGUUAGAAUCCUCAACUUUCGUAGUUGCACCAGAACCAUUUGGGAGUUGGCAGUCUCAGCUUUUUAAAUAGUCCAACAAUAAUAUCACCGAGUUGGCAUCCUCAACUAUUUUAGUUACACAUGAACCAUCAGGAGUUGGCAUCCCCAACUUUUCUUAAUAGUUGCACAACAAUGCCACAUGAGUUGGCAUCUUCAACUUUUUUUUUUGAGGGAGACAUCUUCAACUUCUUUACUUGCACAAGAAUCAUUUAGUAGUUAGCAUCCUCAUGUAUUCACAUGUAACUGAUUUGUUAGGUUUGUGGAUGCACUUGAAUGUAGUUGCACUACUUAUUUGGAAGAUUGUAAUCUUUUAGAAUUCACUAUUUUGUCAAUUUCUUGUGCUCGGACGUGCUAAAUUCAUCAUGUUCAUCAGUUCAAAAUUCAUUACAUAGUCGAACAAAAAUGCAAUAUGAAUUGCAUGUAGGAGUACUUGCAGUCGCACAAAAUAGAUGAUGUAGUUGCACAAGCCAGUAUAAGUUUUUUUUUAUUUUGCAUACAAAAUUUUAGCCAAACCAAAAUGAAUCUGAAAUUAUAUGAGUUGGCAUCUUCAACUUUUUAUGAGUUGAAGAUGCCAACUACUGAAAUUCAACCCCACAAGUAGAUGGAUAUGGCAGUGUUGUUAGUUGCACACUCGUGUUGGUUAAGUUGCACAGAUGCAACCCAGAACUAGUUCAUUUUUCUAAGGCUUCAUUUUUGCAUAAUGUGUGUUUUACUGGUUAUAGGGAUGGAGGAGCUGUUGUAGAUUUGUGCACACAAUUCUCAGCUAUGAAGUUACAUAUACUACUGUGUGGAAAGAUCAAAGAAAAAAAAACACUUGCAAACCAGAUUCUUGUCUAGUAGGUAGUUAUUCAUAGUAGCUACAACACUUUUUUUGCUACAUGGACAUCUAUUCUUCUGCAUUAUGUGUGAAUACGACUCUAUGUGCUCUCUCCUAUAUGUUUGCACAUUUUCGCAUUUUGUUGCACACAUGCUGUAAAAAUUGGCUUGUCCCAUGAUGUAGUUGCAUGAAAAUCAUAUAAAAAAGCACAAGUACCAGAUCUCCCUGUUUUGAUCUCUGUUUAUGUUAUCUUCAACAACUAUGGAGAAGCUAUUUUUGCAAAGAGAAAUUUUGUGAGGGAGAAAGGGAAAGACAAGGAGGAAGGACCUGAACAAGAGGAGAAAAGGAUCACCUCUUUUUUUUCACCCUUGCUAGUGCCUACUGCCUGCUCUGGCAUUGGAGAUCCAGACCUGGGAACCCAAGGUGGGGUCAAGUAGGGGCGUGAGGAAAAAGAAGUUGGUGGCCAGAGAGGUGUGAGAGCUUCAGAAGGGGAGGGAAGGGCACGUGAUGGCCUGGGGACCACGUCCAAUGCGUGCUUUGUUGGGUUCACACGUCUUUGUUGCUAUCGGGGGAGGGUUUUCCUUUUCUGGGAUGGGGGACAUAAUCUUUCCUUUUAUAGCGGCCGCUGGGGAACGCUAGGGAGCAGCCGGCCGCUCCCUAGACGCGUCCCUUAAUUGAUUAUCUGGCCUCAAAUUAUUAAAUAGUCCCACCUUGUGUUUCUUAUAUUCAACCCUUUCAAUUUAUAUAUCUCUUUGAAGUUCCUGGGUGUUAAGGAACUGUCUCGGGAAUUAGUAAGCAAGGAUAACAAGGAAUGAGGAAUAGAAAACACUUCGGCCCAGGCGCCCAGCCAUGUGAUGGCAAAAAAAAAGUCUUCAAAAUUUAUAGCUGCCAUAUUCUUUAUUUUCUUUAUUAUUUAUCGGGUACAAACUGUUACUUUCUUAGGUAGAUCUAUGUAUAUAUAUUCAUUAUUCUGAUCGUUACUUGACUCUUUCAAAUAAAGUGCACUAAUGUGUAUUUGAAUCA
Triticum aestivum (bread wheat) is the source of this 2170-nucleotide long non-coding RNA. RefSeq lists it as uncharacterized. The transcript has 2 exons. The record is from RefSeq and is a predicted model, not a curated record. NCBI's taxonomy places the organism in Eukaryota, Viridiplantae, Streptophyta, Magnoliopsida, Poales, Poaceae.